GAGCCACAGCCGCGGUAAUACCGGCAGCCCGAGUGAUGGCCGAUAUUAUUGGGCCUAAAGCGUCCGUAGCUGGCCGAACAAGUCCGUCGGGAAAUCCACGUGCUUAACACGUGGACGACCGGCGGAAACUGUUCGGCUUGGGGCCGGAGGACCCGAGGGGUACGUCCGGGGUAGGAGUGAAAUCCUGUAAUCCUGGACGGACCGCCGGUGGCGAAAGCGCCUCGGGAAGACGGACCCGACAGCGAGGGACGAAAGCUGGGAUCUCGAACCGGAUUAGAUACCCCUGUAGUCC
RNAcentral lists this ribosomal RNA (292 nucleotides) under uncultured bacterium. Its description in RNAcentral is "partial 16S ribosomal RNA". It matches the Rfam family "Archaeal small subunit ribosomal RNA", at positions 455 to 747 of the family's 1478-position model. The record is from RNAcentral.